AAUGAACGCUGGCGGCAUGCCUUACACAUGCAAGUCGAACGGCAGCAUGACCUAGCUUGCUAGGUUGAUGGCGAGUGGCGAACGGGUGAGUAAUGCAUCGGAACGUGCCUUUUAGUGGGGGAUAACGUAGCGAAAGUUACGCUAAUACCGCAUAUUCUCUGAGGAGGAAAGCAGGGGACCUUCGGGCCUUGCGCUAGAAGAGCGGCCGAUGUCGGAUUAGCUAGUUGGUGAGGUAAAGGCUCACCAAGGCAAAGAUCCGUAGCGGGUCUGAGAGGAUGAUCCGCCACACUGGGACUGAGACAAGGCCCAGACUCCUACGGGAGGCAGCAGUGGGGAAUUUUGGACAAUGGGCGCAAGCCUGAUCCAGCCAUGCCGCGUGAGUGAAGAAGGCCUUCGGGUUGUAAAGCUCUUUCGGCUGGGAAGAAAUCGCACCCUCUAAUACAGGGUGUGGAUGACGGUACCAGCAUAAGAAGCACCGGCUAACUACGUG
Molecule: ribosomal RNA, 490 nt
Filed under: uncultured bacterium
Lineage: Bacteria
Description: partial 16S ribosomal RNA
Rfam family: Bacterial small subunit ribosomal RNA
Source: RNAcentral